Molecule: transfer RNA, 68 nt
Filed under: Marilia sp. XG-2021
Lineage: Eukaryota; Metazoa; Arthropoda; Insecta; Trichoptera; Odontoceridae
Description: tRNA-Arg
Source: RNAcentral
UAAUAAGAAGCAAAAUCUUUGCAUUUAGUUUCGACCUAAAAAUUGAAUAUUCAUUUAUUCCUUAUUUU